This 71-nucleotide transfer RNA is filed under the name Balaeniceps rex (shoebill). It matches the Rfam family "tRNA". Rfam says of the family: Transfer RNA (tRNA) molecules are approximately 80 nucleotides in length. The record is from Rfam by way of RNAcentral. RNAcentral also lists the same sequence under 3 other names. Lineage: Eukaryota; Metazoa; Chordata; Aves; Pelecaniformes; Balaenicipitidae.
GCAAGUAUAGUUUCAACCCAAAAUAUUAGACUGUGACUCUAAAGAUAGAAGUUCAACUCUUCUUACUUGCC